AUGAAUGGCCUCAAGUUUAACUUUUGCUGUUGGAAUGUUCGUGGUCUUGGCCAAAGUCAGAAAUGCUCGGACGUCCUCUCUGAGCUCAUUGCCAUUAACCCUCAUGCGUGUUUCCUUCAGGAAACUAAACUCAGCUCUAUCACUAACUCCUUACAAAAUAUUCUCCCAAAACACCUCGAUCUCACCCACACCCUGCCGGCUACGGGCUCGGCCGGAGGCAUUCUCUCGGCCUUCUCAUCCUCUCAGUUUACUCUCCUCACUUCGGACGCUGGCCACUUCUCCCAAACUUCUACGAUCUCCUGCCUUGCCUCCCCUCAAAAGCUCGCCGUCACAAACGUCUACGCACCAACUGACCAUGCCCUCAAACAGGAUUUUCUGUCUGAGCUUGCCUCCUUCGUACCCCCCUCGCCCACCCCCUGGCUUAUCUUGGGCGACUUCAACCUCCUCCGGCGCCCCUCGGACAAAAACACGCAUAACUUCAGGCAAUCUGAAGCUGACAUGUUCAACGCUUUUAUCCACCUUCAUGGGCUAAUCGAGCUUCCUCUCCUUGACCGCUGUUACACUUGGUCGAGCAAGAGGGAUCAGCCCACCCUCGAAAAAUUAGAUCGAGUUUUCAUUAAUGUUGACUGGGACCUCCUCUUCCCAAACACCACAAUCGCUUCACUAACCCGCUAUAUCUCCGAUCAU
Molecule: ribosomal RNA, 687 nt
Filed under: Triticum aestivum (bread wheat)
Lineage: Eukaryota; Viridiplantae; Streptophyta; Magnoliopsida; Poales; Poaceae
Description: partial small subunit ribosomal RNA
Source: RNAcentral